UGCAUCUGUCGGGAAUCGAACCCUGGGCGCCCGCGUGGCAGGCGAGCAUUCUACCACUAAAUCAAAAGC
RNAcentral lists this transfer RNA (69 nucleotides) under Cordylochernes scorpioides. RNAcentral's name for it is "tRNA-Gly". Lineage: Eukaryota; Metazoa; Arthropoda; Arachnida; Pseudoscorpiones; Chernetidae. The record is from RNAcentral.